UUGAAAGGGAAACGAUUGAAGUCAGUCGUACCGACGAGAAAUCAGCUUAUCGUGUGUUAACUUGUGGGCGUGCGUGAGUUUCGGCCUCGCUGUUUGCAUGUUUGUGCGCUUUGGGUGUACUUUUUCGUAUGGUUGGCCAACAUCAGUUUCGAUUACUAUAAAAUGACUGGCGGAAUGUAGCUUCGAUUUCGGUUGAAGUGUUAUAGCCUCUGGUAGAUGUGGUAAUUGGGACUGAGGAUUGCAACGAAUAUCCUUUGGGCUAUCCGUCUGGCCUCUGAAAGUUGCUUGGGUGCUGAAAGCUUGCUUAUGGUUAUCUAAGUUAACGGUCAAUAGGUUAGAACGUGAUUACAUUCGUUAAGGAUGUUGACGUA
RNAcentral lists this ribosomal RNA (371 nucleotides) under uncultured Glomeromycotina. RNAcentral describes it as "eukaryotic LSU rRNA". The record is from RNAcentral. Lineage: Eukaryota; Fungi; Glomeromycota.